AGAUUUUGAUGUGUUAAGGUAUAUUGUAACUCUUUUCUGUUUUUCAUUUGAAAACAAAACGAUUUGAUGGUCAAAUUUGAUUAAAUAAAUAAUAAAUAUGUUGAGAAGACAUUGUUAAUGAUGUGUUAAUAAAAAAACAAAUUUUCUCUAAGUAAUUAACAUAAUGACUUAAUGGUUACCUUUUUAAAUAUAAGUAGUCAAGUUAAUAAAUCUUAAAUAGUAAGAUAAUUAUAAUUUAACAAUUUUGUAGGCGUUAAUGUGGAAAAUGUAGUUUUAAAAUUGAUAAAUAAUGUGAAGUUUUUCAGAUGCCAUGAUGAUGAACAAUAUCAUUUUGUUAAUUAAAAUAUAGCUGCUAUUCGCUCUGAGUAAAGCCAUGGUAGAGGAAAUCAAAUUGACUGAAGCGUUUGCAGUGGUUACUUUCGGAGUUACGGGAGGCUAUGAUUACUGAAAUUGUAAGCAAGCACACGUGAAAGUAUUUAUUUUGUUAUUAUUUAAUUAUUUAUUUUUCAUUUUGAUUUUUUCCUUAGUAUCAUAUUUUGACUUUGAUAUGAAUUUCAAACAACUUAACCUAAAUGCUUACUGCAAUCUUUUUUAUUUUUUAUCAUUAUACUUACUUAUUGAUGGUCCGUUUAGCUAAAAAACAAAACUGCAAUUACUAUAAAACUGUCACAUAUUUUUUACAACUUUUUUUUUUACUAUUAUUUAUAAUAUUUAUUUAUUUUUAUGUUUCUUGCUAUUGACAUACGUAUAAAAACAUACUCUGACAGCCUCCCGUAGUUCAUAUUUUGUCUGGCGCUGCAGUCACACUCAUAGCGAAUAAUAAAAACUGAAAUGACUUUCUUGGCUAAUUUAAACUAACAAAAACAUGUUUAAGGUUAAUGUGAUUAAUUAUGCAAAUUAUAUAUCCUCUAUUUCUAUGCAAAAAUUUAUAUUUAAAAAAUGACAAUACAAGUGAAUGUGGAUGUAGCUAAUGAUACGGAAUUUAUUUAUUUUGAGAUGAAUGAAUAAAAUGCACUUUGAAAUUCUUAUUGCGAGAAGCACGAAGCAAUUUAGAAGACUUGAUGGAAAAAAAAUUAACAGCAUCUGAAAAAAAACGUCAAACUAUAAUUAAUAAUGAAGAAUACAGCUAUUUUUGGCAAAAAAUAGAUGAAAAAAUUAGUAACUCAGACAGCAAAGAAAAUAUUAAUUUGUUACCACUAAUCAAAGAAUUAUCAACUUUAAAAAAAUUAGAAGAUAGCGAAACUAAUCUAGUAAUAGAAAUGAUGAAAAAUGAAAAGAAAUUAGAAGAAACUGAAAAAGAAUUAAAUACAGAUGGAAAAAAAAAAGAUAAUAAAAAACAAAAAACAAAAGAGAACGAAGAAAAUCUUACUGUUGAUGACUAUUAUUGCAUAGUAAAUGACAAUGAACACCCCGAAUUAUUAGUAGAACAAAUAAAAUCAGUGCGAAGAAAACUAAAUGAAUACGAUGAUACUAAAAUAGCUUUUAAAGUAAUCGAUUUACCUUCAAAUUUAGUUAACAGCAACGAAAAAGAAUUAUCAUUUUCAGAAAAUUUAAAAAAAGAAAGUAAAUAUAAUUACUACAUAUUUGAAAAUUCAAAUUUUACACAAACAACUCCAUAUGUAUUUGUUUUAAAAAAAGAAAAAAAUGGCAUUGCAAAAAACGGCAAAGGUUUGGAGAUAAAUAUAGAAAAUGAAAUAAUAUAAUAAUAAAGUAUGCUGUGUAUUUUUUAUUACACUAACA
RNA transcript from Microplitis demolitor, 1740 nucleotides. RefSeq lists it as uncharacterized. NCBI's taxonomy places the organism in Eukaryota, Metazoa, Arthropoda, Insecta, Hymenoptera, Braconidae. The transcript has 3 exons. The record is from RefSeq and is a predicted model, not a curated record.